Molecule: long non-coding RNA, 1752 nt
Filed under: Pongo abelii (Sumatran orangutan)
Lineage: Eukaryota; Metazoa; Chordata; Mammalia; Primates; Hominidae
Description: lincRNA
Source: RNAcentral
UCUUUGCAGAUGAUUCUUUUCCCAUUCUCAGGCAGUUUUCUUGUCUUUUCUUUUUUUUUUCUUUUUUUUUUUUUUUUUUUUUUUUUUGAGACUGAGUCUUGCUCUGUUGCCCAGGCUUUGCUCGAUCUCAGCUCACUGCAACCUCCACCUCCCGGGUUCAAGCGAUUCUCCUGCCUCAGCCUCCUGAGUAGCUGGGACUACAGGUGUGUGUCACUACACCAGGCUAAUUUUUGUAUUUUUAGUAGAGAUGGGGUUUCCCCAUGUUUGCCAGGAUGGUCUCUAUCUCCUGUCCUUGUGAUCCACCCACCUUGGCCUCCCAAAGUGAUGGGAUUACAGGUGUGAGCCACUGGGUCCUGCCUCUCAGGCAAUUUUCAUACCUGCAUACUCUGAUCACUAUUCUGUUAAACAGUCAAGGAGAGUAAGUAUUAUCUUCAGAUUUCCAGAGCUCUGUCUCUGUACAGCCCUCUCCUCCUCAAUAUUCUGCCCUAUGAAUUCUAGCCACAUUGGCUUUCCCAGACUCACAGUUCUGUCUUCUCAACUCAGGAAGAUCUCUGAGCUCCAUCUGCAUUCUUUCCUCCUGUGCUGUGGCCUGGAAAGUUUUACAAGGUGUUGGGGAGGUCAAUUGUGGGGCUAGCCUCAUUUGUUUCUCAUCUCUUGAGGAUCACUGCCCUUUGAUGCUCGAUUCCAGUGAUUGAUUCCCUUUGUUGCCUGAGGGCCAUAGUUUCAUAUAUUUUGUCCAGUAUUUUUGUUGUUUCAGGUCAGAAAGUAAUUUUGGUCUCUGUUACUCCAUCUUGGCCAGAAGUGUAAGACCUAAGCAUUUACACAUCAAAAUACUGCACACAUAAGUUUAGUUUAAGCUACUUUUUAAAAAAUCUCCUUCAUUUUCCAUUUAGCAUUCUAUUUAGGGUAUUACAUUGGUUUUUUGGAAAUUCUGUUAUUGGCAGUUUCUAUUGCCUAUCAAUCCCAUUUGAAGAUAGUGCAUAGGGUAUUCUAAAAUAGCUGUUAAGCAAAGAGAAAAUUGGGCCUGAUAGGGUGAGAAUCACAGCUCUAAUACCUAGAGUGACCUUAUAAUGUAUUGUCCAAAGGAGAUAUUUUUGACAGUGAAAGAGGGUGUUGUUAGUAAUUAUAUCAGGACCGUGGCCUAAACCAGGACUAUCCCAGGCAGCCUGGGACAUAUUUGUACCCCAUCUCUAUUUAAUGCCUUUAUACAAUUCUUUACUUAAUUCUACCAGCCUUUAUUGAGCCUGCUUUCUUUGUCUAGCUGAGUGCCACAUGCUGACAUCACUAAGAUCAAUACGGCAAACUCUGAAAGAUGGACAGAGAGACAGGAGAUGGUCCUUUAUAAUGCAGUGUGAUCUGUGCUGCAAUAGAGAUGGAAGAGUGUUCUGAUCGGCUGGAAAACAACGCACAUGGGAAGCUGUACGGAAAUGAGUGGGGAAAGUUUUGGAGGCUAGAAGUUCAAAACGAGGUGUUGGCAGCACCAUGCUCUCUCUGAAGAUGCUAGGAAGAAUCUGUUCCGUGCCUUUCCAUUCGCUUCUGGGGUUUCCUGCAAGCCCUGACAUUCCUCGGCUUGUAGAUGCAUCACCCCAGUUUCUGCCCCCAUCAUCACAUGGCCCCCUCUCUGGGUGUACGUCUGCGUUCCCUCUCCUCUCCUUCUAAGGACACCGACACCAAUCAUAGUAGAUUAAGGGUCCACUCCUAACCAAUUACAUCUGCAACAACGCUAUUUCCAAAUAAAGUCACAUUCUAAGA